RNAcentral lists this long non-coding RNA (1357 nucleotides) under Gallus gallus (chicken). RNAcentral describes it as "long non-coding RNA NONGGAT002887". The record is from RNAcentral. Lineage: Eukaryota; Metazoa; Chordata; Aves; Galliformes; Phasianidae.
CGUGCCGUGAGGCGCUGCGCAGCACCUGAGGGCGCGGCCGUAACGGCUGCAGCUCCAGAGCGGAGAGGUGGCUUGCCGCCUGCUGCUCCAGCACAGCUUGAUUACCUCUGCGGGGAAACGUUUCUUACGUAUUUAUGGGAUCAGGUUGCGAUGAAGGUGUCAUUCCCCAUCCUUUCCUCUCCGUGCUGGCGGGGGUUCCCCAGGAAGGCACGCAAGUGCUGCCUGGAAAAUGGAGGCGCCGCUCAGCCGGGUCUUUGUGAAGGGGAGAGCGGCUGGGAGCACCGACCUGGUCGUGAGGGGAGAGCUGACCCUGCCCAUGGCGAGCAGGCAGGGUGAGCAGAGGCCGGGGGAGGAGGCAGCCCUGGGUAUGCCGGUGCCACUCGGUGUGGUUGAAUACAGCAGUGCGUUUUGUGGUCCAGAGAGCCAUUUUACAGAAGGACUGCUGUGUGAUACACAUCCACCAUUGAUUUUUCUGCAAGGAACAGAAGCAGAUCCCUUAAAUCUACCGUGAAUGUAUUGGUCUUCUAUUACUGCAAGUCCCCAUCUUUUUGAAUUGAAAAGAGAAAGAGCAGAGGCUUUUCUUAAACAUUUCCCACUUCUUCCUAACAUUGCCAUGGUAAGAAUGCCACAUCUGACAGCACUGCCUCAGCAGAACAAGCACUGAAAACAAAGGAAGCAUUAACCAGUGAGGAACCAGAGAGGGUCGCUUUUUUCUCCAUCAGAUUUUAAGUAUCUUUGAAAGCCAUGUUGGUCGAUUUACAUUUUGUACAUACUGCAAAGAAUGGUACAUUAAGAUAAAUGACGUGUUGUCAUGCCUUCCAGUGUUACAGUGGGUGACAGGCAAACUUAGAGAUCCAUGUAUGCUUUACAGAACAGUACAUCCAUUCAAAUAAACUCAUACAAAACUAACUCAACGGUGAAGCACAGUUUUAAACAGGUAAAAUGAAUAAGCUGUGAAAAUAGUGCAGCUCCCAUCAACACACUCUGUGGUUCUACCACCUCGUGGCCAACACAACGUAUUGCAGUUCUGCUUCUUGUGCAUGCAGAUUGCCUUAACACGAGCAAUGGAAAGUCAGAAUCAAGGCGGGCAGUUGGCAUCAGCAAAUACAGUCAACACACAGCUGUACUUUGCCCUUAGCUGAUACAUUAAAAAACAGCAGCGUUAAAAUACAGCCUGCAAUAGCCUGGCUGCUACCUCAACUUGCUUAAAGUUAUGCAAGGAUAAAGAACACCAACAGCAUUUCAGUGGAUGUGUUUCAGUUUAAUUUCAAUCUCCUCCCAUGAAAAGCACACACAAAACAAAGCUGAGAACGAUCUAGUACUGUUUACUUCUUGCCCAUUAGUAUGACCUUUUCCC